UGCCCCUGUGGCUGGGAUCAUCCUGACUCAGAUGACAAAUCUACGUCAGUGUUUCUGUCAAGAUUCUGUCUCUGACGAUGAAACCUCACACUUCCUCACCAUGCUGGACUCCACAGCAGGUCAAGGUCAAACAGGGUCAUGGGGUCAAUUGUCAGGGUCAUGAACCCAAUUUGCUUCCUCCCUUCAACUGGUGCUCAGAGGAGUGAUAGAUCACAUUCUGCUUUCAAGUGGUGGCCAGCAGAGAGUAAGAGCCAACUUAUAUGGGGCCCUGCUGUCUUAUCUAAAAAUCGCUCAGAAACCCAAGUCUCUGACUCACAUCAUACACAAGGCAGGAGGUGAUGGGGUUGGGAAGAGGAUUUUGGCCGACGCCCACUCCGAUUAUGAACAGC
This is a long non-coding RNA of Saccostrea cuccullata (small rock oyster), 389 nucleotides long. RefSeq lists it as uncharacterized. The transcript is spliced from 3 exons. NCBI's taxonomy places the organism in Eukaryota, Metazoa, Mollusca, Bivalvia, Ostreida, Ostreidae. The record is from RefSeq and is a predicted model, not a curated record.